Anastrepha ludens (Mexican fruit fly) is the source of this 1449-nucleotide long non-coding RNA. RefSeq lists it as uncharacterized. NCBI's taxonomy places the organism in Eukaryota, Metazoa, Arthropoda, Insecta, Diptera, Tephritidae. The record is from RefSeq and is a predicted model, not a curated record. The transcript has 3 exons.
GCAUUUGUCAGAUAAACAAAGCUGUGCAUUUUCAAAAACAUACACACUUACAUAUGGGCAUGCAAACUGUACGCAUUUGUCUGCAACGGCUCCCUAUAGGCAUGGAUUAACGGCUUGACACAGACAACAGGCUGACUUUCCAACAAAAUACCCCAUCCCAAUUAGCAUUGACAACAAAAAACAUACCAAUCGUCAAUGUCUAACUGCUUACCUACAAAAAGUGCAUGCUUACAUAUGUACACACAUACAUACAUACAUACAUAAAUACAUACAUUUAUAAGCUACCCAAAAUGCUAUGCGUCGUAGAAAGAGAGCGCGAGAGUGUGCUCAGAUAACGAAUAGCUCUAGUUUGGUGGGAAAAAGUUUGGUGGUAUCUUGCAUAUCUGGCCAACUAACUAAACAACCUUUUGGCGCAAGUGCGGCAGUGACGUGGUAAUUGGAUUUUUACAGUGGGUGCCAUUGGUGAGAGGAAGAACCAGGUAUUGCGAGCGGCAAGAAGGCAGUGGAUGCGUCGCGAUAUAAAAGUUAAGGGGCGGUCAAGCUGAUGAAGCUGCAAAAAAUUACUUAGUAACAAGUGAGUCUUUUAUAAAGGGUGGUUCCAUUUCAAGGGCCGAUGUUGAAUGUGAACCACACAUAAACGUCAACGAUACCGUUGGACUUCCUUCUUUGAGGUUAUUUGACAGAAAAGGUGUACGUCGGUAAGCCAGCAACAAUUCAAGAGCUAAAGGAUGAGAUCAUUCGACACAUUAACGGCAUAGAACCUCAAUUAUGCCUCAGCGUCAUCAAAAAUGUGGACCAUCGGAUGGAGGUGUGCCGCCAAGGCCGUGGCGGCCAUUUGGCCGAUAUUUUGUUCCAUACGUAAUUGAGCCAUACCAAUAUUAUCAUAAUAAGGAGAAAUGACAACAAUUUCCUAAAAAAAUUAUAUUUUAUUCAAAAUCAACACCGGCCCUUGAAACUUAACCACCUUUAUAAAGCUUGGUUUGGACUUACGGUAUACAAUUCCGGCGAUGCCCUAGCCAAAAGUGCAUCACCGCUAGUCUCCAUCAAUGGAUCCAAAACAAAAUAAGGAUUAGAGACUUUCAUUGAUCUAGGCAAACCAACUGUAUCUGAAGUAACGAAGCGAUUUGCCAUAGCUCACAAACAGUGCUAGUUUACAGAAACCGACUCAUCUAACACCGCUCUCCCUCGGGGCCUGUCGAAACCGCAAGUUUCCUGGGCUUACCUUUAGAUGAGUUAGACCAAGACGACCGGUGAUAUACACUACACUGGCAGGGCUUAGUAUUGCUGCUACAACAACAAUAACAAGCUCACAAACAGCGACUACAUAAUAAUCGUAUCAAUUAUGCAGAAUCCAACUUACUUCGGCUGAAUUCUUCUCAAAAAAGUUUAAAACACACUUCGGGAGCAGUCCUUUUGGAGAGCGAAUAUGCUUCUAAAUUAUCAAAUGAA